Molecule: long non-coding RNA, 327 nt
Organism: Brassica napus (rape)
Lineage: Eukaryota; Viridiplantae; Streptophyta; Magnoliopsida; Brassicales; Brassicaceae
Exons: 2
Source: RefSeq, a predicted model, not a curated record
ACAUCAAACAAACAAAAAAGACACAUCAUUUGUUUAUUUUGCAAUCUUGAUUAAUGAUCAGGACUUCACCUUCUUCCGGAGAUAUAACAGAGGAUUGGUGCCAAUGUAAGAGACGAGAUAGUCAUUAAGAAGCUCCUCUGAUCCAAAACGGCAGACAUGAGAAGAUCUUGUUCUUCUCUUUACAACUUGGUAUUGCUGCUUCAAAGUCUCUUUUCUCAUGUCAUGAAGUUCGCUGCCCCCAAAAUCAAAAACAGAGAACCAUUUAGGAAAAAGUGAUUCUUAACGUCUUGAAGAACAAUCAAAUCAUAAAGAUUUUGUUUCUUAAAA